CGCACGGGUGAGUAACACGUGAGUGACCUGCCUUUUAGACUGGAACAACUUACCGAAAGGUGAGCUAAUGCCGGAUGAGUUAUAUAAGUGCAUGUUUAUAUAGGAAAAGUUGGGGAGACCUGACGCUGAAAGAUGGACUCGCGUCCCAUUAGCUAGUUGGUAGGGUAAUGGCCUACCAAGGCGACGAUGGGUAGCCGGCCUGAGAGGGUGGCCGGCCACACUGGGACUGGGACACGGCCCAGACUCCUACGGAAGGCAGCAG
This 262-nucleotide ribosomal RNA is filed under the name uncultured bacterium. RNAcentral's name for it is "partial 16S ribosomal RNA". It matches the Rfam family "Bacterial small subunit ribosomal RNA", at positions 99 to 354 of the family's 1533-position model. The record is from RNAcentral.